RNAcentral lists this long non-coding RNA (427 nucleotides) under Equus asinus (donkey). RNAcentral describes it as "lncRNA (ENSEASG00005035505.1)". The record is from RNAcentral. Lineage: Eukaryota; Metazoa; Chordata; Mammalia; Perissodactyla; Equidae.
ACCAAUGAGAUGCCAGACUCCCCUGUCCUUCCUCUGCGACUCUCAAUUCCCCUCUCCCAUCCUCCUGCCCGUCGGCACAGUUCAGAGAGAGCAGUUCCUUGGGUCCUUCUCAGCCUGUGGCAGAAGAGAAUUGCGGAGUUCUUAAUCAUUCAGAGGGAAUCCUCCAGCUUGCCCUGCGUCUCUCGGAAGAGGGGACCCAGACCCUCUGGCUCUGCCAGUUCUACUUCCUCCACCAUUACCAACGACGGGGACAGCAGAUGCCCAGGGGCUCAGCAGGCAGAAACAUAACCUUCUGGAGUGGGUGGAGUGGAAGAUGGAGUAUGGGAAUACAUUUUCCAAAAUUUAUUCCAUUAAUAGUUCCUGUUUGGAUUCCUCCAACAAGAAGCAAGCACAUGUGAUCUGGAAGAUGUAAAGAGCACAAGGGAAG